CGGACGGGUGAGUAACACGUGGAUAACCUACCUAUAAGACUGGGAUAACUUCGGGAAACCGUAGCUAAUACCGGAUAAUAUAUUGAACCGCAUGGUUCAAUAGUGAAAGACGGUUUUGCUGUCACUUAUAGAUGGAUCCGUGCCGCAUUAGCUAGUUGGUAAGGUAACGGCUUACCAAGGCAACGAUGCGUAGCCGACCUGAGAUGGUGAUCGGCCACACUGGAACUGAGACACGGUCCAG
Molecule: ribosomal RNA, 241 nt
Filed under: uncultured Staphylococcus sp.
Lineage: Bacteria; Bacillati; Bacillota; Bacilli; Caryophanales; Staphylococcaceae
Description: partial 16S ribosomal RNA
Rfam family: Bacterial small subunit ribosomal RNA
Source: RNAcentral